This 48-nucleotide ribosomal RNA is filed under the name Steinernema sp. LFS8. RNAcentral's name for it is "partial 28S ribosomal RNA". Lineage: Eukaryota; Metazoa; Nematoda; Chromadorea; Rhabditida; Steinernematidae. The record is from RNAcentral.
CAAGCAAGACUACCCGCUGAACUUAAGCAUAUCAGUAAGCGGAGGAAA